Molecule: ribosomal RNA, 836 nt
Filed under: uncultured Cellvibrio sp.
Lineage: Bacteria; Pseudomonadati; Pseudomonadota; Gammaproteobacteria; Cellvibrionales; Cellvibrionaceae
Description: bacterial SSU rRNA
Rfam family: Bacterial small subunit ribosomal RNA
Source: RNAcentral
AGAGUUUGAUCAUGGCUCAGAUUGAACGCUGGCGGCAGGCCUAACACAUGCAAGUCGAGCGGUUGAGGUAGCUUGCUACCGAUGCAGCGGCGGACGGGUGAGUAAUACAUGGGAAUCUGCCUGGUAGUGGGGGACAACGUUUCGAAAGGAACGCUAAUACCGCAUACGCCCUACGGGGGAAAGGGGGGGAUCUUCGGACCUCUCGCUAUCAGAUGAGCCCAUGUCGGAUUAGCUUGUUGGUGAGGUAAAGGCUCACCAAGGCGACGAUCCGUAACUGGUCUGAGAGGACGAUCAGUCACACUGGAACUGAGACACGGUCCAGACUCCUACGGGAGGCAGCAGUGGGGAAUAUUGGACAAUGGGCGCAAGCCUGAUCCAGCCAUGCCGCGUGUGUGAAGAAGGCCUUAGGGUUGUAAAGCACUUUCAGUGGGGAGAAAGGUCAUUCACCUAAUACGUGAGUGAAUUGAUGUUACCCACAGAAGAAGCACCGGCUAACUCCGUGCCAGCAGCCGCGGUAAUACGGAGGGUGCAAGCGUUAAUCGGAAUUACUGGGCGUAAAGCGCACGUAGGUGGUUUUGUUUAAGCUAGCUGUGAAAUCCCCGGGCUCAACCCUGGGCACUGCAGUUAGAACUGGCAAGCUAGAGUAGGGUAGAGGGGUGUGGAAUUCCAGGUGUAGCGGUGAAAUGCGUAGAUAUCUGGAGGAACAUCUGUGGCGAAGGCGACACCCUGGACUCAUACUGACACUGAGGUGCGAAAGCGUGGGGAGCUACAGGAUUACAUACCCUGGUAGCCCACGCCGUAUCGAUGCCACUAGCCGUUGGGAGCCCUGAGCUCUU